RNAcentral lists this transfer RNA (75 nucleotides) under bacterium. RNAcentral's name for it is "tRNA-Glu". It matches the Rfam family "tRNA". Rfam says of the family: Transfer RNA (tRNA) molecules are approximately 80 nucleotides in length. Their secondary structure includes four short double-helical elements and three loops (D, anti-codon, and T loops). The record is from RNAcentral. RNAcentral also lists the same sequence under 2 other names.
GGUCCAUUCGUCUAGUGGUUAGGACGUCAGGUUUUCAUCCUGGUAACAGGGGUUCGAUUCCCCUAUGGACUACGA